GUAGUCCAUGCCGUAAACGAUGCUAACUCGUUUUUGGGCUUUAGGGUUCAGAGACCAAGCGAAAGUGAUAAGUUAGCCACCUGGGGAGUACGCUCGCAAUAGUGAAACUCAAAGGAAUUGACGGGGGCCCGCACAAGCGGUGGAUUAUGUGGUUUAAUUCGAUGAUACGCGAGGAACCUUACCAAGACUUAAAUGGGAAUUGACAGCUUUAGAAAUAGAGCUUUCUUCGGACAAUUUUCAAGGUGCUGCAUGGUUGUCGUCAGCUCGUGCCGUGAGGUGUUAGGUUAAGUCCUGCAACGAGCGCAACCCCUGUCACUAGUUGCCAUCAUUCAGUUGGGGACUCUAGUGAGACUGCCUACGCAAGUAGAGA
Molecule: ribosomal RNA, 370 nt
Filed under: uncultured bacterium
Lineage: Bacteria
Description: bacterial SSU rRNA
Rfam family: Bacterial small subunit ribosomal RNA
Source: RNAcentral